ACCCCAGAUAGACAUCAGGCUGCUCCU
This 27-nucleotide non-coding RNA is filed under the name Mus musculus (house mouse). Lineage: Eukaryota; Metazoa; Chordata; Mammalia; Rodentia; Muridae. The record is from RNAcentral.